UACAGAGGGUGCAAGCGUUAAUCGGAAUUACUGGGCGUAAAGGGCGCGUAGGCGGUCUUUCAAGUGAGAUGUGAAAUCCCCGGGCUUAACCUGGGAACUGCAUCUUAAACUGGGAGGCUUGAGUACUGUAGAGGACAGUGGAAUUUCCGGUGUAGCGGUGAAAUGCGUAGAUAUCGGAAGGAACACCUGUGGCGAAAGCGGCUCACUGGACCAUUACUGACGCUGAUGCACGAAAGCUAGGGGAGCAAACAGG
RNAcentral lists this ribosomal RNA (253 nucleotides) under uncultured bacterium. RNAcentral describes it as "partial 16S ribosomal RNA". It matches the Rfam family "Bacterial small subunit ribosomal RNA", at positions 524 to 776 of the family's 1533-position model. The record is from RNAcentral.